This 397-nucleotide ribosomal RNA is filed under the name uncultured bacterium. RNAcentral's name for it is "partial 16S ribosomal RNA". It matches the Rfam family "Bacterial small subunit ribosomal RNA", at positions 523 to 918 of the family's 1533-position model. The record is from RNAcentral.
AUACGUAGGGGGCGAGCGUUGUCCGGAAUGAUUGGGCGUAAAGGGCGCGUAGGCGGCGCGGUAAGUCUGGAGUGAAAGUCCUGCUUUCAAGGUGGGAAUUGCUUUGGAUACUGCCGCGCUUGAGUGCAGGAGAGGUUAUCGGAAUUCCCGGUGUAGCGGUGAAAUGCGUAGAGAUUGGGAGGAACACCAGUGGCGAAGGCGACUUACUGGACUGUAACUGACGCUGAGGCGCAAAAGUGUGGGGAGCAAACAGGAUUAGAUACCCUGGUAGUCCACACUGUAAACGAUGAAUGCUAGGUGUAGGGGGUAUCGACCCCUUCUGUGCCGCAGUCAACACAAUAAGCAUUCCGCCUGGGGAGUACGGCCGCAAGGUUGAAACUCAAAGGAAUUGACGGGG